GCUAAAUAAAUGUUGCUCAUUCAAAUCUUCUUCAAAGACAGGUUCUGGGGCUUCAUUAAUGUUGAUAAAACAUUUUGAAAUCUUCCUGAAAGUCAUUAAGGAAUGAUGUUAGCAGCCGUAUCAACCCAGCUGGAAGCCAAGUUCAUCAAACAUCUUCAGGAAGACUUUUCUCGCUAAAUUAGAUGGUCAAAGCUCUGAAGAUUAGGAGUCAAAGGACCUCAAUAUAAUGAAGGUUAAAUACGACAAAGCUACAGCCAAAAUUGUGUCAAGAUCUGAAAUGAUACAAGGGUGGCUCCUCUCUGUGCUCAUUCAAUAUCAAGCUUCAUAUCAGCUAAAGCAAUAAGGAAGUGAAAGAGAAAGAAAAGAGUUACCAAUAGAAAAAGGAAGAAAUUAAAUUAUCCUUAUUUUG
Rattus norvegicus (Norway rat) is the source of this 409-nucleotide non-coding RNA. NCBI's taxonomy places the organism in Eukaryota, Metazoa, Chordata, Mammalia, Rodentia, Muridae. The record is from RefSeq and is a predicted model, not a curated record.